AAAUUCCGCUCAUAGCGGUGGGUCAGCGGCAGAUACAACAUGGUCCAAAAGUUCCAAUUGCACAUGAUUGGAACGAAAGGAAACAGGAAAAGCUCAGCCAGUGCCGAUGCCUGAUAACAAAGAUGAGGACCUAAGGAGUAACACCCUCAUCCCCAAAGGUUGUGGAUUCAAGCCCCACCAGGAGAUUCAAGUAUAAAAUUCUGGCUGAUACCACAGGAGUGCUACGCUGUUAUCUUUCAAAUGAAAUGUUAAACUUAACUUCAAACGAGUGAGUAUCUUAAAAUGAAGAGUGUUUUGCUACAGUGGGACGGCACUUCGAGGAGUCCAGGAAUCCAUACUGAGACCACACCAGGCUGCCAUGCUGGGCCGAGAGACCACAAUUCCAGGCCGAGAGACCACAAUUCCAGGCCGAGAGACCACAAUUCCGAGCCGAUAGAGCACAAUUCCAAACCAAGGGAAGACAAUGCCAGGUUGAGAGGCCACAAUUCCAAGCCGAACGACCAUGAUGUCGGGCCAACAGACCACCACACUGGACUACUGAAAGAUCACCACAGCAGGCUGUGCAUCCACCAUGUUGUUUAGGGCAAUUUAUGCUUUUUGUGAUCCCAGGUAAAAUUUGUCGAAAGAAAGUCAAGCUGGCUGGCAAAACUGAUUGGGUCCCUGGGCAUUGGUAACAUCUCUGGUCCUAAUAUAUUCUCCUGAUCAUCUUAAUGCAGAUUGGACAAACAAUGCAAUUUGAUAUUAAAGAUUGAAUAGUGCUGUGCUGAUUCUGGGCUGACUUUAACGCAAAAGGCUGAAGCAGUGGAGCGAGGAGUAAUGUUUUCGAAGCUGCCAUACAAACAGAUUAGCUGGUAUGGUGCAGCCUCAAGGGAGCAGAGGAGACUGAGUAGUUCAGAACAUUAUUGAGAGAGGUUGCAGUGCAAAUAGACUACAGUUCACUGCAAUACUCACUACCUAUAGUGGUUAAUGAUGCCCAAAGAAACUACAGUGUGUCAAUCAACUUGCUGAUAAUGGCAGUUUUGUCAAUACCCAUCAGAAAUCACUGCCUGGACAGUGAAAAUGCUUGGAUGUUUUCAAAAACAGACAUAAGUGGAAAUUUCUAAGAGAUAUUUACAUUGCUUUGAGAUUGUCCAAAGGGAUUUGUUCACUGACUGUUUACCCACCUGUUAUUACCUGAUUCUGUUUGUGUAGAAGGAUUUCGAGGUCAGCCUGCAAACUAACAUCAAACAAUAAGCAGACAACUACCAGAGCUCCUGACGAACACACAUGAAAAGAUUCAUUUGCUUCACUGGCCACUCACCCAUUCUAUUACUUCUUCUACAUAUUGAAGGAAGAAAGUUUUCCCUUUGAUGGAGCAUCGAGGGCUGGGGGCACAGGUUUGAGGUGAGGGGCAGGAGGUUUUAAGGUGUUGUGAGGAAAAGUUUUUUCACCAGAAGGUGGUGGGAUUCUGGAACUCACUGCAUGUAAGGUUAAGGAUGUUAGAAGCAGAAACUUUCUUGAUCUUUAAGUAGUAUUUAGAUGCGCACUUGUGAUGCACAUGGAAGACUGUCAUCCAAGUUUCGGAAAAUUGAAUUAGAAUAGUAAGGUGGCUGUUUUUGACCAGUGCAGAUGUGAACGGCCAAAGGGACUUUUAGUGUGUGCUGUAGAUCUCUAUGACCCUAUGAUUUCUGAGCUUGCUACAGGCUCCUGCUCCUCCUGCUGUUGUCCUCACCUUCUGAUGUAGACAGCCGCAGCAAGCGACAUGCCAGCAGCAACAGAGCCCAUCACUCUCGGCGGGGAGAGGACUUCAAUGGGGAACAGGUAGCAAAUCAGCUUUGACCAGCAUCUGCCCCUAAGGACCUCUGUUGCAUAACAAAUGGGUGUUGAAAUAAUUGUCAAUUCAAUGUGACAAUGCUUACUAAGUGGCCUCUUCAUAUAUUAACAUCGAGUGAAGACGGACUGUGACCGUUGGUACAUUGAACUGACACUGUCUCCACCCACCCUGAGCAUUGUUCCAGCCAUUUCUACACCUAGUGAGGGGCAAGUGAGGGCUGAGAACACAGCCCAUGGUUGACACUGUCUGCAUUAGGAUCUGCUGAGUGGUUAGAUACCCCACUCUGAAGCUUCCAUGACCCCUACUAUCUCACACUGCUCCAACAACCCACUUCAAUCCAUCAUCGCCAUGUGGAGACACACCACAUUGUACUUCGCCUACAGCUAUCCUCCCUGCCCUGCCGAUUCCUGGCAUUACACCUGGUAGAUAUCCACCUUGCUCUUUUAUGUGCCCUGUAUGGAGGUCAUGAUGCUGGCCACUAUCAAUAAUGCCCCUCCCAUAGCCUGCCAUACCCUCUGAUGCUGUUUGACAAAGCCUCAACUCCCCUUGAGGUUCCUCCUGCCACCAUUCUUAACUCUACCACUUAAAAGGGAUUUCCUGCUACCCCAAAAGGAUUCCCUUACACCCUUCUGAACGAUGGAUGACUAGACCCCCAAAUCUGUAUCCACCCCAGACUUCUGACUGACCUUGAUAACCACCCCUAUAUGUUACUGGCUGACCCUCUUACACUGACAGUAACUGACCAUGUAUGAUUCUCCUGACUUCUGCUGGAGCAGACCCUGCAGGAAUGACCACUGCACACUCCCCAGACUGCACUGGGACACAUCCCCUGUCUGUGCCAGUCCUAAAUAAACAACUGACCUGUGGACCGCGUGUAGACCAUCCCUGUGGCUGACAAUACUUGGACCCUUGACCCACAACACUUUGACUGACCUGUAGAUUAAGCUUCACCACUUUCCCACAUGGCCAUUUGGUUGAAUACCCAGGCUUUGCUAGCGGGCAGCUGGCACAUGUUGUCGGUGUUAGAUUGAUGUGUCAGUGUGCUAUACAGCAAAACCCUUCACCAGCCUCACAAACAUAUCACUCACUGACGAGCAGCCUGUCUGUGUGUAGGAGCUAAGGAAGGCGUCGAGAUAGCAGUAAUGAUAGCCUUUGGCUCUGGCAGAACCACAAACAUGUCAACAGGAAUGGCACAGCGAGGGGAAAGGCAGGGCAGAUGUGCUCUGAGCUGUGCACUAGGUAAAUGAGCACAAAGAAAUCAAACUCUGAGAUGCCAAGAUAAUGAAAUG
This is a long non-coding RNA of Stegostoma tigrinum, 3102 nucleotides long. RefSeq lists it as uncharacterized. The record is from RefSeq and is a predicted model, not a curated record. Lineage: Eukaryota; Metazoa; Chordata; Chondrichthyes; Orectolobiformes; Stegostomatidae. The transcript is spliced from 3 exons.